AACACCCCACUAUUUGGAAGAGUUCAUGGAUUGUCCCCAUGUUUAAAAAAGGUGACAAAGAAGAUCGUCGUGCAGAGUGCUAACAUGUGUCACCACAUAUCCAAGCUUGGGUACACGGGCUUGACUCAACCCCUUGGGCGGAUGGUGGCAUAUGGCGAACCAGGAGGGG
RNAcentral lists this ribozyme (169 nucleotides) under Anopheles gambiae (African malaria mosquito). RNAcentral's name for it is "drz-agam-2-2 ribozyme". It matches the Rfam family "drz-agam-2-2 ribozyme". Lineage: Eukaryota; Metazoa; Arthropoda; Insecta; Diptera; Culicidae. The record is from Rfam by way of RNAcentral.